RNAcentral lists this ribosomal RNA (446 nucleotides) under uncultured bacterium. RNAcentral's name for it is "bacterial SSU rRNA". It matches the Rfam family "Bacterial small subunit ribosomal RNA", at positions 28 to 462 of the family's 1533-position model. The record is from RNAcentral.
GACGAACGCUGGCGGCGUGCCUAAUACAUGCAAGUCGAGCGGACGAAUCGAAAGCUUGCUUUUGAUUCGUUAGCGGCGGACGGGUGAGUAACACGUGGGCAACCUGCCCUGUAGACGGGGAUAACACCGAGAAAUCGGUGCUAAUACCGGAUAACACGAAAUGUCGCAUGACGUUUCGUUGAAAGACGGCGCAAGCUGUCGCUACAGGAUGGGCCCGCGGCGCAUUAGCUAGUUGGUGAGGUAACGGCUCACCAAGGCGACGAUGCGUAGCCGACCUGAGAGGGUGAUCGGCCACACUGGGACUGAGACACGGCCCAGACUCCUACGGGAGGCAGCAGUAGGGAAUCUUCCGCAAUGGACGAAAGUCUGACGGAGCAACGCCGCGUGAGCGAAGAAGGCCUUCGGGUCGUAAAGCUCUGUUGUUAGGGAAGAACAAGUAACGCAGU